UAGAAAGUAAAGUAGGGAAACCCUAAAAUCUCUCGCUGCCUCCUUGGACUCCUGGAGAGUGGAGACGCCAUUGCCGCUCACGAGGAGGAACAUCAACGUCGAUGCAGCAGAUCAACCGCCAGUCCGCCACCUCUCGCUGCUGCCGACGACGUAGAAGGUCAGACGCCACCUCCCGCUCCCUCUCCCUGCCGCCGUUGCUGACGCAGCAGAUCAACCGCCAGUCCGCCACCUCCCGCUUCCGCCGAAGACAUACUUACUGGGAACUCAAGAAAUGGACUGUUGAUUUGAAUCAGUAUGCAUGUGAAAGCUUGAGGUUAAACCAUCCAGAGACAAAUGAGAUAAGCCACCUGAAACACUUGUGUGUUGCCUAAGGCCCUACCAGAAACAAGCUCUUUACUGGAUGUCAGAAUUGGAGAAGGGAACUGAGGCAGAGCAAACGACCAAAGUUUUGCAUCCAUGUUGGGCAGCAUAUCGAAUUUGUGAUGAGAGGGGUUCUGCAAUUUAUGUGAACAUUUUCUCUAGUGAAAACAAGAUGGGUACAGAUGCUAUGGGCCUGGGGAAAACUGUAAUGACAAUUGCUCUGCAACUGCAAUUAUAACAGCUCCUGUAUUAAAGGGGCAGGAAGUAGUGGAGGCUCAUAUAUUAGUUGAAAACUUGACCCAACAGCUUACAAGAGUUUCUGAAAGCAUAAAUGAUAGAAGCAAGAAGCUCAAACAGAUCAAAGAGGAAAAAGACGACUUGAAGGUAGGUGUGGUGUAUCUUAUGAAAUUGAGCUUACUAAGUUUUUGACUGUUUUGUCAUUGGUCUACAAAGUUACUAUGAAUGUAGGCUAUGGAAGAAAAUUAUCAGGAUACCCUUCAGGAGGAGGAGAGAGAAUUGGAGCAACUCUUAAAUAAAAGGAAAACCUAUCUUGCAAAACAAAAUGAGUAUUCGAAGAAGAUUCGAGAAAAAGGUAUGCCAAGAUCAAAAAGGUUCAUGGAUAUGAGAGUCGGCCAAGGUCUUAACAACAAUCUUCUACGUCAACACACGAGCAAUUGUUGAAUGAUGCACCACAUGAAGAUACAUUUCCAAAUCAUGAACAAACUCAUGAUAAUGAUACACCUCAAGAGCAAACUCAGGAUGAAACACCACAAGAGCAGUGCUAAUGGGUUGAAAGAUGGAAUGAACACAGGGAGACUGGGACUUUCCCUAGGCCACUUUAACUUGAUGUGGAUUUAGACAAUGUUUAUCAUCUUGUUAUGAAAUUUGGCCUUUUGAUUUCCUUUUGAAUGUCAAUGGAUUAAUAAGCA
This is an RNA transcript of Ipomoea nil (Japanese morning glory), 1289 nucleotides long. RefSeq lists it as uncharacterized. The transcript is spliced from 8 exons. The record is from RefSeq and is a predicted model, not a curated record. Lineage: Eukaryota; Viridiplantae; Streptophyta; Magnoliopsida; Solanales; Convolvulaceae.